AACGAACGCUGGCGGCAUGCCUAACACAUGCAAGUCGAACGCCCUCUUCGGAGGGAGUGGCGCACGGGUGCGUAACGCGUGGGAACCUGCCCUUAGGUUCGGAAUAACUCAGAGAAAUUUGAGCUAAUACCGGAUAAUGUCUUCGGACCAAAGAUUUAUCGCCUUUGGAUGGGCCCGCGUUGGAUUAGCUAGUUGGUGGGGUAAAGGCCUACCAAGGCGACGAUCCAUAGCUGGUCUGAGAGGAUGAUCAGCCACACUGGGACUGAGACACGGCCCAGACUCCUACGGGAGGCAGCAGUGGGGAAUAUUGGACAAUGGGCGAAAGCCUGAUCCAGCGAUGCCGCGUGAGUGAUGAAGGCCUUAGGGUUGUAAAGCUCUUUUACUGGGGAUGAUAAUGACAGUACCCAGAGAAUAAGCUCCGGCUAACUCCGUGCCAGCA
This 439-nucleotide ribosomal RNA is filed under the name uncultured bacterium. Its description in RNAcentral is "bacterial SSU rRNA". It matches the Rfam family "Bacterial small subunit ribosomal RNA", at positions 29 to 513 of the family's 1533-position model. The record is from RNAcentral.